UACGGAAGGCAGCAGUGGGGAAUAUUGCACAAUGGGCGCAAGCCUGAUGCAGCCAUGCCGCGUGUAUGAAGAAGGCCUUCGGGUUGUAAAGUACUUUCAGUCGUGAGGAAGGUGUUAAGGUUAAUAACCUUAGCAAUUGACGUUAGCGACAGAAGAAGCACCGGCUAACUCCGUGCCAGCAGCCGCGGUAAUACGGAGGGUGCGAGCGUUAAUCGGAAUUACUGGGCGUAAAGGGCACGCAGGCGGUUAAUUAAGUUGGAUGUGAAAUCCCCGGGCUUAACCUGGGAAUGGCAUUCAAGACUGGUUAGCUAGAGUCUUGUAGAGGGGGUAGAAUUCCAUGUGUAGCGGUGAAAUGCGUAGAGAUGUGGAGGAAUACCGGUGGCGAAGGCGGCCCCUGGGACAAAGGACUGACGCUCAUGUGCGAAAGCGUGGGGAGCAAA
This 440-nucleotide ribosomal RNA is filed under the name uncultured bacterium. Its description in RNAcentral is "bacterial SSU rRNA". It matches the Rfam family "Bacterial small subunit ribosomal RNA", at positions 340 to 772 of the family's 1533-position model. The record is from RNAcentral.